Molecule: unclassified non-coding RNA, 253 nt
Filed under: uncultured Phycisphaeraceae bacterium
Lineage: Bacteria; Pseudomonadati; Planctomycetota; Phycisphaerae; Phycisphaerales; Phycisphaeraceae
Description: contains 16S-23S intergenic spacer region
Rfam family: Bacterial small subunit ribosomal RNA
Source: RNAcentral
UACGAAGGACCCGAGCGUUAAUCGGAAUCACUGGGCUUAAAGGGUGCGUAGGCGGAGGCGUAAGUGUCUUGUGAAAUCCCACUGCUCAACGGUGGAAUUGCAGGGCAUACUGCGUCUCUUGAGGCCAGUAGGGGUCGCCGGAACUCUAGGUGUAGCGGUGAAAUGCGUAGAUAUCUAGAGGAACACCGAUGGUGAAGACAGGCGACUGGGCUGGUUCUGACGCUGAGGCACGAAAGCGUGGGUAGCAAACAGG